CCCAGGCAACAAUAGUGAAUGUAAACAGCCCAAAAUGUAACCAAAAUACAAGAAUAGUGGCCCAAUUAAAAUUAUGUAAUAACAGCCCAAAAUAAAUAUGUCAGCCCAAUAAGUAACUUAAUAAAAUAUAAAGCAGCCUAGCCCAAAUUAAUAACCCAAUAAAAUAUAACACCAGCCCAAAUAAACCUGCAAAUAGUGAGCUCCGUUACCGAAGAAAAUAGUCGGAAAGAAAGAGUCCGUCGGUCGUCGCCUCCGCAAAUCCGACACAGAAGAAAUUUCCUACUUUUUGUCACUGUCCCCUAAUUACGACGUCAUCUACAUCGUCAAUUGAUGAACGACAAGCUGUGGAUUAAAAAAAAUUGACUCGACUACACCAGUUACUCGUCUCCAGAAGAAGAUACGAAACCCUCCAAUGUUCGGAGGUUGCAACACCGUUAAUCAUGGUGGGUCAGAAGGAAAAAGAAGCCAGAACACCAAAAUAAAAUUGUAAGAUUUCUGACCGGACUCUUGCAACACCCAAAAAUAUUAAGAAAAUUGCAGUAUCGUAG
This 548-nucleotide long non-coding RNA is filed under the name Olea europaea subsp. europaea. Lineage: Eukaryota; Viridiplantae; Streptophyta; Magnoliopsida; Lamiales; Oleaceae. The record is from RNAcentral.